UUCGCCCUUAGAGUUUGAUCCUGGCUCAGGACGAACGCUGGCGGCGCGCCUAACACAUGCAAGUCGAACGAGCGAGAGAGAGCUUGCUUUCUCGAGCGAGUGGCGAACGGGUGAGUAACGCGUGAGGAACCUGCCUCAAAGAGGGGGACAACAGUUGGAAACGACUGCUAAUACCGCAUGAGCCCACGACCCGGCAUCGGGUAGAGGGAAAAGGAGCAAUCCGCUUUGAGAUGGCCUCGCGUCCGAUUAGCUAGUUGGUGAGGUAACGGCCCACCAAGGCGACGAUCGGUAGCCGGACUGAGAGGUUGAACGGCCACAUUGGGACUGAGACACGGCCCAGACUCCUACGGGAGGCAGCAGUGGGGAAUAUUGCACAAUGGGGGAAACCCUGAUGCAGCGACGCCGCGUGGAGGAAGAAGGUCUUCGGAUUGUAAACUCCUGUUGUUGAGGAAGAUAAUGACGGUACUCAACAAGGAAGUGACGGCUAACUACGUGCCAGCAGCCGCGGUAAAACGUAGGUCACAAGCGUUGUCCGGAAUUACUGGGUGUAAAGGGAGCGCAGGCGGGAAGACAAGUUGGAAGUGAAAUCCAUGGGCUCAACCCAUGAACUGCUUUCAAAACUGUUUUUCUUGAGUAGUGCAGAGGUAGGCGGAAUUCCCGGUGUAGCGGUGGAAUGCGUAGAUAUCGGGAGGAACACCAGUGGCGAAGGCGGCCUACUGGGCACCAACUGACGCUGAGGCUCGAAAGUGUGGGUAGCAAACAGGAUUAGAUACCCUGGUAGCCCACACUGUAAACGAUGAUUACUAGGGGUUGGAGGAUUGCCCCCUUCAGUGCCGCAGUUAACACAAUAAGUAAUCCACCUGGGGAGUACGACCGCAAGGUUGAAACUCAAAGGAAUUGACGGGGGCCCGCACAAGCAGUGGAGUAUGUGGUUUAAUUCGACGCAACGCGAAGAACCUUACCAAGUCUUGACAUCCUGCGACGCACAUAGAAAUAUGUGUUUCCUUCGGGACGCAGAGACAGGUGGUGCAUGGUUGUCGUCAGCUCGUGUCGUGAGAUGUUGGGUUAAGUCCCGCAACGAGCGUAACCCCUAUGUUCAGUAGCCAGCAGGUAAAGCUGGGCACUCUGGACAGACUGCCGGGGAUAACCCGGAGGAAGGCGGGGAUGACGUCAAAUCAUCAUGCCCCUUACGGCCUGGGCUACACACGUGCUACAAUGGCGUAAACAAAGGGAAGCGAGAGGGUGACCUGGAGCGAAUCCCAAAAAUAACGUCCCAGUUCGGACUGUAGUCUGCAACCCGACUACACGAAGCUGGAAUCGCUAGUAAUCGCGAAUCAGCAUGUCGCGGUGAAUACGUUCCCGGGUCUUGCACUCACCGCCCGUCA
RNAcentral lists this ribosomal RNA (1385 nucleotides) under uncultured bacterium. RNAcentral describes it as "16S ribosomal RNA". It matches the Rfam family "Bacterial small subunit ribosomal RNA". The record is from RNAcentral.